GCGGACGUGGCGGAACUGGCAGACGCGCUGGACUAAGGAUCCAGUGGGGCAACCCGUGAAGGUUCGACUCCUUUCGUCCGCACCA
Molecule: transfer RNA, 85 nt
Filed under: Sandaracinus sp.
Lineage: Bacteria; Pseudomonadati; Myxococcota; Polyangiales; Sandaracinaceae
Also listed under: 2 other names
Description: tRNA-Leu
Rfam family: tRNA
About the family: Transfer RNA (tRNA) molecules are approximately 80 nucleotides in length. Their secondary structure includes four short double-helical elements and three loops (D, anti-codon, and T loops). Further hydrogen bonds mediate the characteristic L-shaped molecular structure. tRNAs have two regions of fundamental functional importance: the anti-codon, which is responsible for specific mRNA codon recognition, and the 3' end, to which the tRNAs corresponding amino acid is attached (by aminoacyl-tRNA synthetases). tRNAs cope with the degeneracy of the genetic code in two manners: having more than one tRNA (with a specific anti-codon) for a particular amino acid; and 'wobble' base-pairing, i.e. permitting non-standard base-pairing at the 3rd anti-codon position.
Source: RNAcentral